RNAcentral lists this transfer RNA (76 nucleotides) under Candidatus Erwinia haradaeae. RNAcentral's name for it is "transfer RNA Alanine". It matches the Rfam family "tRNA". Rfam says of the family: Transfer RNA (tRNA) molecules are approximately 80 nucleotides in length. Their secondary structure includes four short double-helical elements and three loops (D, anti-codon, and T loops). Lineage: Bacteria; Pseudomonadati; Pseudomonadota; Gammaproteobacteria; Enterobacterales; Erwiniaceae. The record is from RNAcentral.
GGGGAUAUAGCUCAGCUGGCAGAGCGCUUGCAUGGCAUGCAAGAGGUCAGCGGUUCAAUUCCGCUUAUCUCCACCA